AUUUUUGCCGAAUUCCUUUUAUUUAAUUUUUUAUUUAUUUUAAUAUUUUUAUUUUUAAAUAUACUAAUUUUAUCAUUAUAACUAAUAUUUUAUAAUUAAAUAUUUUUUUUUUAUAUAAAUUUAAAUUAUUAUUAAAUUUUAAAAAUAAUAAAAUUAUUUAUAAAAAAUAAUAAUUUUUAAAAAAUUUAAAUUUUAAAAAUUUUAAGUUUAAUUUACAUAUAAUUAUAAAAAUUUAAUUUAAAGCUUAUCCCUUAAAAUAUUUAAUUAAAUUUAUUAUUUAUUAAUAAAUUAAUAAAUAAAAAUAAUUAAUUUAAAAUUAAAUUUUUUUCUAAAAAAACUAGAUAUAUUUAAAAACGAUUAACAUUUCAUUUCAAAUUAAUUAUUUAAAAUAAUUAUAUAACAUUAACUUUAUUAAUUAAUUAUCUCUUUUAAAUUCGAGAUAUUUUUUUCUUAAAAUAUUAUUUAAUAAACUCUGAUACACAAGAUACAAUAAAUAAAAUUUACUUUUAAAUUAAUUUAUUUUCAAAAUUUUUCAAAAUUCUUUUACAAUACUAAUUCACUAUAAAUAUAAAAAUUUUUUCUAAAAAAUACUUUAACCCCCAUUAAAUAUCCCUUAAAAUUAUUUUUAUUAUUUAUUUUAUUUUAAUUUACCCCUA
Molecule: ribosomal RNA, 656 nt
Filed under: Phoebis agarithe
Lineage: Eukaryota; Metazoa; Arthropoda; Insecta; Lepidoptera; Pieridae
Description: partial large subunit ribosomal RNA
Source: RNAcentral